This 1456-nucleotide ribosomal RNA is filed under the name uncultured Bordetella sp. RNAcentral describes it as "partial 16S-23S ribosomal RNA intergenic spacer". It matches the Rfam family "Bacterial small subunit ribosomal RNA". Lineage: Bacteria; Pseudomonadati; Pseudomonadota; Betaproteobacteria; Burkholderiales; Alcaligenaceae. The record is from RNAcentral.
CUCAGAUUGAACGCUGGCGGGAUGCUUUACACAUGCAAGUCGAACGGCAGCACGGACUUCGGUCUGGUGGCGAGUGGCGAACGGGUGAGUAACGUAUCGGAACGUGCCUAGUAUGGGAUAACUACGCGAAAGGUAGCCGGCUAUCGCAUUACACCUUCGUGGAAAGCGGGGACCUUCGGGCCUCGCACUAUUAGAGCGGCCGAUAUCGGAUUAGCUAGUUGUAGGGGAACGUCACCAAGGCGACGAUCCGUAGCUGGUUUGAGAGGACGACCAGCCACACUGGGACCGAGAUACGCCUGACUCUACGUGGGAGAAGCAGUGGGGAAUUUUGGACAAUGGGGAAACCCCGAUCUAGCCAUCCCGCGUGCAUGAAGGCCUUCGGGUUGCAAAGCACUUUGCGGCAGGAAAAGAAACGGCACGGGAUGAAUACCCCGUGCAACUGAUUGUACCUGGUAAUAAGCACCAUGGAAUCACGUGCCAGCAGUUGUAGAAUACGUAGGGUGCAGCGUUAAUCAACUACUGGGCGUAAAGCGUGCGCAGGCGGUUCGGAAAGAAAGAUGUGAAAUCCCAGAGCUUAACUUUGGAACUGCAUUUAACUACCGAGCUGGUAGAGUGUGUUUGAGGGAGGUGGAAAUUCCGCGUGGUAGCAGUGAAAUGCGUAGAUAUGCGGAGGAACACCGAUGGCGAAGGCAGCUCUGGGAUAACACUGACGCUCAUGCACGAAAGCGUGGGGAGCAAACAGGAUUAGAUACCCUGGUAGUCCACGCCCUAAACACGCCUAACCAAUGUUGGGGCCUUCGGGCCUUUGGUAGCGCAACUAACGCGUGAAGUUGACCGCCUGGGGAGUACGGUCGCAAGAUUAAAACUCAAAGGAAUUGACGGGGACCUCGCACAAGCGGUGGAUGAUGUGGAUUAAUUCGAUGCAACGCGAAAAUCACCUCACCCUUGACAUGUUCAAUCCCGAAGAGAUUUUGGGAGUGCUCGCAAGAGAACCGAACACAGGUGCCGCAUGGCUGUCGUCAGCUCGCAAUGAGAUGCUGGGUUAAGUCCCGCAACGAGCGCAACCCUUGUCAUUAGUUGCUACGAAAGGGCACUCUAUCGAGACUGCCGGUGACAAACCGAGGAAGGUGGGGAUGACGUCAAGUCCUCAUGGCCCUUAUGGGUAGGGCUUCACACGUCAUACAAUGGUCGGGACAGAGGGUCGCCAACCCGCGAGGGGAGCCAAUCCCAGAAACCCGGAUCGUGGUCCGGAUCGCAGUCUGCAACUCGACUGCGUGAAGUCGGAAUCGCCAGUAACGUGAUCAAAAAGGCCGCAGUGAAUACGUUCCCGACCUGUACACACCGCCCGCCCGUCACACCAUGGGAGUGGGUUUUACCAGAAGUGAAGCAGUAGUCAACCGGGCGAGGCGAUUACCACGUGAGAUUCGGUGACUGGGGUGAAGUCGUGGCAAGGUAG